RNAcentral lists this ribosomal RNA (439 nucleotides) under uncultured bacterium. RNAcentral's name for it is "bacterial SSU rRNA". It matches the Rfam family "Bacterial small subunit ribosomal RNA", at positions 958 to 1397 of the family's 1533-position model. The record is from RNAcentral.
AACGCGAAGAACCUUACCCAGGCUUGACAUGCAGCAGACAGCGCUAGAAAUAGCGUCUUCCUUCGGGACUGCUGCACAGGUGCUGCAUGGCUGUCGUCAGCUCGUGCCGUGAGGUGUUGGGUUAAGUCCCGCAACGAGCGCAACCCUUAUCGUUAGUUGCCAACAUGUGAUGGUGGGAACUCUAACGAGACUGCCUGGGUUAACCAGGAGGAAGGUGAGGAUGACGUCAAGUCCGCAUGGCCCUUAUGUCUGGGGCUACACACGUGCUACAAUGGUCGGUACAGAAGGCAGCGAAGCCGCGAGGUGAAGCAAAUCCAAAAAGCCGAUCCCAGUUCAGAUUGUAGUCUGCAACUCGACUACAUGAAGAUGGAAUUGCUAGUAAUGGCGAGUCAGCAACAUCGCCGUGAAUACGUUCCCGGGCCUUGUACACACCGGCUAC